This 449-nucleotide long non-coding RNA is filed under the name Brassica napus (rape). RNAcentral describes it as "long non-coding RNA (BNAP_LNC001849)". The record is from RNAcentral. Lineage: Eukaryota; Viridiplantae; Streptophyta; Magnoliopsida; Brassicales; Brassicaceae.
GGUAGGGUGUUAGGGAGAAAAAAAUAUUAAACUAUAAUAAAUAGUUCAAAUAUAUCAAUCUUACAAUUAUAAUAGUUAGGUAGGGUAUUAGGGAGAAAAAAAUAUUAGACAAAUGAUCAAAUCUCUCAUUCUUCGAAAAGACUCAAAGGGAAGUGAUUGAAAUCUUGUCAUGAUAGUUCAUUAAAAGGUUUUUAGGAAUAAAUAUCAAGAAAUUUUUUUUGAUCUGAAUGAAAUAAUAUAAAAAUAUAUAUAGUGCUUCCAAUAUUAAAAUUCCCUUAGAUUUAAAGAACUGUAUUUUUGGGAUUGUCAGGAUCUUAUAACAUAUUAGAAACCACAUAUUAAAAAUAAUUUCUAUACAUAAUAGUAUAUACAUUAGAGUAACCACAAAUCAAAAUCAAUACCUUUUGUUAAUUUACAAUCAUAUUUUGGUAAAUACAUUAAAAUAAUAA